RNAcentral lists this small nuclear RNA (281 nucleotides) under Carlito syrichta (Philippine tarsier). Its description in RNAcentral is "7SK RNA (ENSTSYG00000020807.2)". It matches the Rfam family "7SK RNA". Rfam says of the family: 7SK was discovered as an abundant small nuclear RNA in the mid-70s but a possible function has only recently been suggested. Two independent studies have found that 7SK RNA binds the CDK9/cyclin T complex (known as elongation factor P-TEFb). The record is from Rfam by way of RNAcentral. Lineage: Eukaryota; Metazoa; Chordata; Mammalia; Primates; Tarsiidae.
GGAUGUGAGGGCCAUCUGGCUGUGACAUCUGUUACCCCACUGGUCACCAGGGUGGAUUCGGCUGAUCUGGUGGGCUAGCCGGGUGUCCCUUUCCUCCCUUACGGUGCCAUGUGCAUCCCUCCCGAAGCUGUGCCCUCGGUCAGAGAGGACGACCAUCCCCACUAGAGGAGGACCGUUCAAGGUCAAGGGUAUAUGCAUCUCUGCGCUCCCCGGCUGGAACCCCCAAGGUCUCAAGGUCCAGAGGCAGCAGCCGACUUCAGCACAGCCUGCUGGCUGGCAUU